ACCUCCGUCAAAAUAAGUGCAACCAUGAGUUUCCGCGCUUAACUUUGAUCGUCCGUCUUAUUUGAAAUUUUUUUAUAAUUAGCAUUUUUGUUGUUAUGAGAUGAUAAAAUAUGAAUAGUACUUUACUCGUGACUUAUGUUUUUAAUUUUUUUCAAAAAAAUUUCAAAUAAGACGAAUGGUCAAAGUUGGGCGUGGAAAACCAUGGCUGCACUUAUUUUGGGACGGAGGGA
This 230-nucleotide microRNA precursor is filed under the name Oryza sativa (Asian cultivated rice). RNAcentral describes it as "partial microRNA MIR433a-41 precursor". The stretch from base 12 to 216 matches the Rfam family "MIR812 microRNA precursor family". The record is from RNAcentral. Lineage: Eukaryota; Viridiplantae; Streptophyta; Magnoliopsida; Poales; Poaceae.